GAUGAACGCUGGCGGCGUGCUUAACACAUGCAAGUCGAACGGUGAAGGAGAGCUUGCUCUUUGGAUCAGUGGCGAACGGGUGAGUAACACGUGAGCAAUCUGCCCUUGACUCUGGGAUAAGCGUUGGAAACGACGUCUAAUACCGGAUACGAGCUGUGACCGCAUGGUCAACAGUUGGAAAGAACUUCGGUCAAGGAUGAGCUCGCGGCCUAUCAGCUUGUUGGUGAGGUAAUGGCUCACCAAGGCGUCGACGGGUAGCCGGCCUGAGAGGGUGACCGGCCACACUGGGACUGAGACACGGCCCAGACUCCUACGGGUGGCAG
This 323-nucleotide ribosomal RNA is filed under the name uncultured Actinomycetes bacterium. Its description in RNAcentral is "bacterial SSU rRNA". It matches the Rfam family "Bacterial small subunit ribosomal RNA", at positions 28 to 351 of the family's 1533-position model. Lineage: Bacteria; Bacillati; Actinomycetota; Actinomycetes. The record is from RNAcentral.